CUCAUGCCCAGAAAGAGAGUAAAGCCAUGUCGAAACUCUAAAAUUCCUCGAGUGUUUUUCCAGCUACCUGCCACUCACCCACCAACUCCCCUCGGACUUCAAUUAGAACCUGAUAAUUGGCGUCACAAACAGGAUCCUGAGGUUAACAUGCUCCAACUGCAUCAUGAACUGGGCCCACACGUAGGCUGAGGUGACCAAUAUUUCCAACUGUUGGCUCUGCACCACUCUUCCAGCAGCAGUUGUGGACAGCUUGCCUUGGCACAUGCAUUCAGUGUCUGCAGAGAACUGGACAUGGCUGGAGACUUGGGGUCCCAUGGCUGACACCUGGAACGCAAUGCAGCAAGCUUUGGACAAAAGACACUGCAAGACCCAUGGCACACACACCCCUGGCUGGCCUGUAGUGUUUAUGAUGGGUGGGGCUGGCUAGUGGGGGAACAUGUAGUACCCCUAGCCCAGG
This 457-nucleotide long non-coding RNA is filed under the name Homo sapiens (human). Its description in RNAcentral is "non-protein coding lnc-ROR1-1:1". The record is from RNAcentral. Lineage: Eukaryota; Metazoa; Chordata; Mammalia; Primates; Hominidae.